CCCGCUGAACUUAAGCAUAUCAAUAAGCGGAGGAAAAGAAACCAACCGGGAUUGCCUCAGUAACGGCGAGUGAAGCGGCAAGAGCUCAAAUUUGAAAGCUGGCUCCUUCGGGGUCCGCAUUGUAAUUUGCAGAGGAUGCUUCGGGUGCGGCCCCUGUCUAAGUGCCCUGGAACGGGCCGUCAGAGAGGGUGAGAAUCCCGUCUGGGAUGGGGUGUCCGCGCCCGUGUGAAGCUCCUUCGACGAGUCGAGUUGUUUGGGAAUGCAGCUCUAAAUGGGUGGUAAAUUUCAUCUAAAGCUAAAUACUGGCCGGAGACCGAUAGCGCACAAGUAGAGUGAUCGAAAGAUGAAAAGCACUUUGAAAAGAGAGUUAAAAAGCACGUGAAAUUGUUGAAAGGGAAGCGCUUGCGACCAGACUCGCCUCCAGGGUUCAGCCGGCAUUCGUGCCGGUGUACUUCCCUGGGGGCGGGCCAGCGUCGGUUUGGGCGGCCGGUCAAAGGCUCCCGGAAUGUAGUGCCCUCCGGGGCACCUUAUAGCCGGGAGUGCAAUGCGGCCAGCCUGGACCGAGGAACGCGCUUCGGCACGGACGCUGGCAUAAUGGUCGUAAACGACC
RNAcentral lists this ribosomal RNA (610 nucleotides) under Aspergillus parasiticus. RNAcentral describes it as "eukaryotic LSU rRNA". It matches the Rfam family "Eukaryotic large subunit ribosomal RNA", at positions 24 to 649 of the family's 3401-position model. The record is from RNAcentral. Lineage: Eukaryota; Fungi; Ascomycota; Eurotiomycetes; Eurotiales; Aspergillaceae.